UCAUCAUCUCGUUGGCUGCGAAUAAUAAGGGGUGGAUAAAAGCGAGGCAGAUGUUAUUGUGUUGUGCAUGCCUAAGAGAUGAUUAUACUUUUAAGAUGAUCCCAAAUCAUGCGUCGAUCCAUGGAUGGCGUUUUGAAU
RNAcentral lists this ribosomal RNA (138 nucleotides) under Dendrobium brymerianum. RNAcentral's name for it is "partial 28S ribosomal RNA". The record is from RNAcentral. Lineage: Eukaryota; Viridiplantae; Streptophyta; Magnoliopsida; Asparagales; Orchidaceae.